This 549-nucleotide ribosomal RNA is filed under the name Anablepsoides gamae. Its description in RNAcentral is "partial 16S ribosomal RNA". It matches the Rfam family "Bacterial large subunit ribosomal RNA", at positions 1847 to 2602 of the family's 2925-position model. The record is from RNAcentral. Lineage: Eukaryota; Metazoa; Chordata; Actinopteri; Cyprinodontiformes; Rivulidae.
AAGAGGUCCUGCCUGCCCUGUGACAACUUUGUUUAACGGCCGCGGUAUAUUGACCGUGUGAAGGUAGCGUAAUCAUUUGUCUUUUAAAUGAAGACCAGUAUGAAUGGCGUGACGAGAGUUUAACUGUCUCCCUCUCUUAGUCAAUGAAACUGAUCUCCCCGUGCAGAAGCGAGGAUAAUCACAUAAGACGAAAAGACCCUAUGGAGCUUUAGAAUAUGAAACAGCCCACAAACAUAACAAACAAAGUUAGAUCCCUGUUUCCACAUUUCUUAGGUUGGGGCGACCAUGGAGUAAAACAAAACCUCCACGAAAAAACACCCAAGUUUUUAAAAUCUAGAGCCACGCCUCUAAAUUUCAGAACUUCUGUCCAACAAAUGAUCCAGUUUAUUCAACUGAUUAACGGAACAAGUUACCCUAGGGAUAACAGCGCAAUCCCCUUUUAGAGUUCCCAUCGACAAGGGGGUUUACGACCUCGAUGUUGGAUCAGGACAUCCUAAUGGCGCAACAGCUAUUAAGGGUUCGUUUGUUCAACGAUUAAAGUCCUACGUG